CAACAUGAUGAGACUUUAAAAAAUUAUCCUGAUUUCAUCACCUUGGUAUAAUCUUUAAAGUUUUAAAUCAAAUUCCAAGUUAAUAAAUGUGUUAAAGAUUUUUUUUAGCUAAAUAAUUUAGGAAAGUGGUUAGAAUAAAUAAAAUAGUUUCUAAAUGCUAUUUUUGCUCCUUCAGAGAACUGUAUGUAAUAAUUUGAUAAUUUAGACUUAAUUUAUUAUUUUCCAGUGGGAACAUUACAUUUGUUUGUUUCUAUAUGCCUGGUCUGAUAGUAUGCAGAGAGGCCAGAGGCCCUGUAAAGGGAACAUUUCUGGAAACAUUCUCUGUUGUAUGUGGAAAAACCCUGCCUCAGGAUAAAAUUCUUGCCAAAUUGUCAUAAUCUUGGGUUCUAAUUGAAUACUAUCUUAUUUUAUAUCACAGCCAUCUUUCUUCACAUUGGGUUUCAUAGUCUUAAGUAAAAUAUUUGAGGAUCUCCUUGAAAGAUGAAUUAAGUAUUUCAUAAUCUAAAACAAAGUUGUAGUCUUGUAAAGCAAGUAUACCCCAGUAAAAUUUUUUAAAAAAGAAAAAAAAGAGGGCUGCCUUGUCAUGUUACGUAGUUGAAAGUCAAUAAAUAAUUAUAUGAAUCUAAAAAAAUAAAGUAACAUGUUUUUGCUUAUAAUACUGAAAACCAGGAUUUUAACUAAUUUAUGUGUAGUUUUGUUUUGUUUUAAUGGAUUGG
RNAcentral lists this long non-coding RNA (716 nucleotides) under Bos taurus (domestic cattle). RNAcentral's name for it is "long non-coding RNA NONBTAT019051". Lineage: Eukaryota; Metazoa; Chordata; Mammalia; Artiodactyla; Bovidae. The record is from RNAcentral.